This 436-nucleotide ribosomal RNA is filed under the name uncultured bacterium. RNAcentral describes it as "bacterial SSU rRNA". It matches the Rfam family "Bacterial small subunit ribosomal RNA", at positions 355 to 786 of the family's 1533-position model. The record is from RNAcentral.
UGAGGAAUAUUGGUCAAUGGACGAGAGUCUGAACCAGCCAAGUAGCGUGCGGGAUGAAGGCCCUCCGGGUCGUAAACCGCUUUUAGACGGGGAUAAAAGGGCGUACGUGUACGCCGUAUUGCAUGUACCGUCAGAAAAACGGACCGGCUAAUUCCGUGCCAGCAGCCGCGGUAAUACGGAAGGUCCGGGCGUUAUCCGGAUUUAUUGGGUUUAAAGGGAGCGUAGGCGGACUUUCAAGUCAGUGGUAAAAUCGUGUGGCUCAACCAUACCUCGCCAUUGAAACUGGAAGUCUGGAGUGCACACAGGGGUGCCGGAAUUCAUGGUGUAGCGGUGAAAUGCUUAGAUAUCAUGAAGAACUCCGAUCGCGAAGGCAAGUGCCCGGGGUGCAACUGACGCUGAGGCUCGAAGGUGCGGGUAUCGAACAGGAUUAGAUACC